RNAcentral lists this ribosomal RNA (453 nucleotides) under uncultured bacterium. Its description in RNAcentral is "bacterial SSU rRNA". It matches the Rfam family "Bacterial small subunit ribosomal RNA", at positions 340 to 786 of the family's 1533-position model. The record is from RNAcentral.
UACGGGAGGCAGCAGUGGGGAAUAUUGCACAAUGGGCGCAAGCCUGAUGCAGCCAUGCCGCGUGUAUGAAGAAGGCCUUCGGGUUGUAAAGUACUUUCAGUCGUGAGGAAGGUGUUAAGGUUAAUAACCUUAGCAAUUGACGUUAGCGACAGAAGAAGCACCGGCUAACUCCGUGCCAGCAGCCGCGGUAAUACGGAGGGUGCGAGCGUUAAUCGGAAUUACUGGGCGUAAAGGGCACGCAGGCGGUUAAUUAAGUUGGAUGUGAAUCCCCGGGCUUAACCUGGGAAUGGCAUUCAAGACUGGUUAGCUAGAGUCUUGUAGAGGGGGUAGAAUUCCAUGUGUAGCGGUGAAAUGCGUAGAGAUGUGGAGGAAUACCGGUGGCGAAGGCGGCCCCUGGGACAAAGGCUGACGCUCAUGUGCGAAAGCGUGGGGAGCAAACAGGAUUUAGAUACC